Long non-coding RNA from Mycetomoellerius zeteki, 237 nucleotides. RefSeq lists it as uncharacterized. The transcript has 3 exons. NCBI's taxonomy places the organism in Eukaryota, Metazoa, Arthropoda, Insecta, Hymenoptera, Formicidae. The record is from RefSeq and is a predicted model, not a curated record.
GAAUCACGAUCUGUGGAACACGUGUCAAGGAGGGUUGUUCGCAAACGCUGUCUCGUGUCAACUUUGAUCGUGGGAAGAAAGAGAAAGAGAGGAGAGGAAUGAUGUGUGAAUGCCACGAAGAAAUCUGAGAGGAGGAGGAGGAGGAGGCCCGGGGGGCAUCCGGCGACGGCGAAGCAACGUUGAGAUCAACGUAGUUCGCGAUGCAGUUUACAACUCCUGCUGCUGCGCAUCAUAUCG